Regulatory RNA element from Tropicibacter naphthalenivorans, 65 nucleotides. It matches the Rfam family "L2-Alphaproteobacteria ribosomal protein leader". The record is from Rfam. NCBI's taxonomy places the organism in Bacteria, Pseudomonadati, Pseudomonadota, Alphaproteobacteria, Rhodobacterales, Roseobacteraceae.
GGCCACCUUCGGGGGGCUUAUCACAUAGGAUCCACACGGAUCCCCAAGCUUACGGAAGACAGAAA